Oreochromis aureus is the source of this 433-nucleotide long non-coding RNA. RefSeq lists it as uncharacterized. The transcript has 3 exons. The record is from RefSeq and is a predicted model, not a curated record. NCBI's taxonomy places the organism in Eukaryota, Metazoa, Chordata, Actinopteri, Cichliformes, Cichlidae.
GGCUCACCAGCUCGCUGGCCGGGAUGGUCUCAAAGCGAACAUGCGACAGAAGCUCUGCGGCGUGAACCUGACGGGAGGCGUCAAAGUCGAGCCACUUCAUGGCGAGCUGGGGGAGGAGAUGACAUCACUGGCUGGUCUGGGGCCUGUUUUUAGUCCUGGAUGAAAAUAGAAGGAAGUCCCAGAGGGUCAGCAAGUUAACACUGCAAGUGUCAGGAGUCGCCUCCUAGAAGACCCGACACUUCUUCUCAGUGAGGACCUGAGAAGUUGAUAUUAUGUUCCCCCAAAUUCACAGCGGUGACCUCUGAAGGCAGCAGCAGUGAGUCGUCCUGCAGGAAGGCCGAGAUCUGCUCCAGGGUCAGCUGGUUGAAGAGCGGUGUCUCUGCAAACUGCACAAAGUUCUCCAGCACAAAGCGGCGGGCGGCGUCGCACACGG